AACGCGAAGAACCUUACCUACCCUUGACAUCCUGCGAAGCCUGAAGAGAUUUAGGCGUGCCGAAAGGAGCGCAGAGACAGGUGCUGCAUGGCUGUCGUCAGCUCGUGUUGUGAGAUGUUGGGUUAAGUCCCGUAACGAGCGCAACCCUUGUCCUUAGUUGCCAGCAUUUAGUUGGGGACUCUAAGGAGACUGCCGGUGAGGAAUCGGAGGAAGGCGGGGACGACGUCAAGUCAUCAUGGCCUUUAUGGGUAGGGCUACACACGUGCUACAAUGGGGCGUACAGAGGGUCGCGAACCCGCGAGGGGGAGCCAAUCCCGAAAAGCGCCUCGUAGUCCGGAUUGGAGUCUGCAACUCGACUCCAUGAAGUUGGAAUCGCUAGUAAUCGCGAAUCAGCGAUGUCGCGGUGAAUACGUUCCCGGGCCUUGUACACACCGAGACGAC
This 441-nucleotide ribosomal RNA is filed under the name uncultured bacterium. RNAcentral describes it as "bacterial SSU rRNA". It matches the Rfam family "Bacterial small subunit ribosomal RNA", at positions 958 to 1398 of the family's 1533-position model. The record is from RNAcentral.